GUGGUGGGCGGGAAGAGCAACUGUGACAGAUGUAAAUCUUCGAGCGAAUUUGAGAGUGGGAAAGGAAUCAGAAGAAAAACCAAAGCAGGACUUUGGAAAAGCCGCAUUCUCUGGAACAUAUGAGAAUGAUGAGGUGAUGUUACUUGGUGAGGAUGGACAAAGGAGUUUCUGAUAUUUUUAGCUUUGUGAUUUGAUACCUGUGAGAGUAUAAAAAUAUAGUAAAAGAUUUUUAAAAGUAG
This is a non-coding RNA of Pocillopora verrucosa, 239 nucleotides long. Lineage: Eukaryota; Metazoa; Cnidaria; Anthozoa; Scleractinia; Pocilloporidae. The record is from RefSeq and is a predicted model, not a curated record.